UCUUGGCAUCUUCCAAAAAUGUAGACAAUCCUUAGCAUCUACUAGAUAGUAGCGUAAGACUUCUAAUUACGUACCAAUCACAAUAAAAUUUAAGGAAAAAUCUUGAUAAGAAAAUCAAAAAUUAUGGAAGCUUAUUAUAUUUUAUCUAAUACAAUAAAAAGAAAUGAAAAUAAAGAGCAUCCAAUUUUGCUAAACCAACCAGCACAGACCCCACGCAUAAUGAAAUCUUACUCCAAUUUUGAAACGAACACUGGCCAAGGCAAACCUAAUGACGAUCGGGUGUGUAAGGAGAAAGACAGAUUCUAUCUAGGUAUACCAUCAGAGUAGUAUAUAUCGAAUUUGAAAUAAAUGAUUUAAUAAAACUAUCAUUAAUAAAGAUUACUAAAAUAUCA
Anthonomus grandis grandis is the source of this 392-nucleotide long non-coding RNA. RefSeq lists it as uncharacterized. The record is from RefSeq and is a predicted model, not a curated record. The transcript is spliced from 2 exons. Lineage: Eukaryota; Metazoa; Arthropoda; Insecta; Coleoptera; Curculionidae.